AAAGAAAAAGAUUUUCCACUCAAAGAAUGAUGGAUAACACAGAGUACUUCCUAUUGAUGACGUCAUAACCAACUUUGAAAAAGUUUUGUUUGAAAGAAAAGGAUCUGAAGAAGGAGAAAGAUCUGUUUAGAUUCAGAUGGAUUAAUAGACUGUCAGACCUUUUGCCAUCACUUAAUUCUGUACUAUUAGUUCUGUAACACUGAGCCUAUAAGCUUUUGACUUGAUGGUUUAUCUAAUUUGAGAGAGCAGAGUCCAUGAUAUCAGUCUUUAAGCAUUUCAAGAUUAGCAAUACAGAAUAUGUACAGAUGUAAUAGCAGAUAAAAAUCCCACACAAACAGGACACUGAUAUAUAAAGUUAAUGGAAUUUAGAGAUAUUUCAUUUCUCUCUUGUGUGAAUU
Long non-coding RNA from Saccostrea echinata, 398 nucleotides. RefSeq lists it as uncharacterized. The transcript has 2 exons. The record is from RefSeq and is a predicted model, not a curated record. NCBI's taxonomy places the organism in Eukaryota, Metazoa, Mollusca, Bivalvia, Ostreida, Ostreidae.